AGCACGUCCAUAACAACAUGUAAUCCAGAGUUGAUUUAUUUUACAGUCUAUGAGGGCUGCAGCCACUCACACCUGCAGCCACCACACCACCACAGCAAAGAAAGGAACAGGGCAGGACCACAGAUGCACCACCCACCUGACCCCCGAACUAGCAUAGCACCACCACUGACCCUGCUGUGGAGCCAGUGCUAUUGUUUGGAGUAGCAGCCUGUGGCCUCCGUCCGUCAGGAGAAAACUUCCCUUUUCUGCUCGGAGCGAAUGAGUCAACCCCGACCGUGUGCCAGGCUGGAGCGGCCGCUGCGAGCCGACUGUGCCAUGCCACAACACCACAACGCCAAUAUAGUCUGGGGCCCCCGGAGCCCAGAGCAGCCAGCACUGUAAAAAUACUUCUGGCCUCAGGACAGACCACAGUCGCUGCAGAGGACUUGUCCAGAGCCUUAAUGUCACCAAGCAAAACCACAGUCUAUUUCAGUGCUCAUUCAAUUCACUGCACAAGUGACAGACAUGGGUCAUCCAAAACAAGCUUUCCUGAUGAGAGUGUGGGGGAAUAAUUAAUACUGCAAACAGGGUGAAUGUGGUAACAUAUAUUUUGGAAAUAUCUUUGCAGCGUCAUGUUAAUUAGCCUUUGUCAUAUGAGAAGUACAGGAAUAUAAUUAUGUUUUUCCAUUUGUGAGCAGAAAAAAGACUGGCCCAGUUUGUCCGCAGGUUGCACUGCUCUCUAUUGGAAGACCACUGUCAUUGCAUUAAUAGUUACAAAAGACAAUCCAUAAAAAGAUGUUAGUUUUGCAUCCAAACGGAAAAUGUUUAUUCAUAAACUGGUAAAAUAUAGGACAUUUGUAUAAAAAUGUAGAAAAUUUUACACAAAAUAUAACACUUUUCUAGUAUAGUUAAGGCUAUCAUGAUAGCUUUUUGUUACUAUGGUGAUAUUCUUUUGCCAGCAAAAAGUCCGAAUGGAGGAUGACAGUUAUAAAACACACACACAGAAGCAACAUCCAUAAAGUUCAUUAUUAUAAAACAUUUUAUACAAAAUCUCUUACAUUCUAAACCUGCAAUGUCAGUCAAUGUUCAAUGUCCUAUUACGUUUUAGUGUUAAAUUCCAUCUGUGCAUCGAUUCAUGUAAGGUGUCUUUGGUUGGCUCUACCAGUCCGAAUAGAAUAAUACUAUUAAUAGAAAAAUACUUUUGCAGCCCUCAAAAUGACAACUGAAAUACUGUCUUUACUUCUGUGGGAUUAAUCAUAAGGCAGCAAUAAAAGUACCUGGGAAUCAUAGUAUUUCCUAUAUUUACCUCCGCCAAGGAGGUUAUGUUUUUGCCGGCGUUUGUCUGUUUGUUUGUUUGUUGUUUGUCUGUUAGCAACAUAACUCAAAAAGUUAUGGACCGAUUUUGAUAAAAUUUUCAGGAUUUGUUGGAAAUGUGAAAAGGAAGAACUGAUUUCAUUUUGGGGGUGAUCCGGAAGAAAUCCUGGAUUCUGGAUCACAAAUUUUUGUUAACAUUGUGGUAAAUGGGGCCAAAAAUUUUGUUUCUCAAUAUCUCGGUUAAUUAUUGACCAAACCCCAUGAAAUUUGACUCAGGGAUGGACAAUGGGAUCCUCUUUCAUAUUCCAAAGGCUGAUCCGGAUCUGAUCCAGAAGACUGAUUUUAUCGCAAUUUAUAUAAAAAAUGGGGGUAGUCCUUGGCGGAGGUCUGCGCUCUCUGAGUGCUUUUCUAGUUGACAAAGGAUUAGUUGCCAUACAUGUUCUUUUUUUGGGGAAAUUAAGGAAAAACGUUUGACAAGCUAAUAUAAUGAUAGCUUUCUAUUGCAAUUAGUCACUGCAGAAGGGUGUAAAUGACAAAAUAUGGAGGAAAGGUCAGCAGCCACAGUUAUAAUUGUAUGAAUGUACUCUUUUGUAUGUACCUUAGCUAUUUAAAUUUUGUAUCAAAGAAAAAAAAAAUAUAUAUAUAAAUUCAAAGCUGCUCUAGAAAAGCUUACAGUAAAAAUGGGAGUGCAAUCGGUUUGUCUCAAGAAGGCAAUUUGAACAAACAUGUCGUCAGACCACAAAAGUCCUGAGUGUCUCUGUGUACAAUAUUCUAAGUAAAUGUGCAUACUGUGUAA
Boleophthalmus pectinirostris (great blue-spotted mudskipper) is the source of this 2089-nucleotide long non-coding RNA. RefSeq lists it as uncharacterized. The record is from RefSeq and is a predicted model, not a curated record. The transcript has 3 exons. Lineage: Eukaryota; Metazoa; Chordata; Actinopteri; Gobiiformes; Gobiidae.